GAUGAAGAACGUAGCGAAAUGCGAUAAGUAGUGUGAAUUGCAGAAUUCAGUGAAUCAUCGAAUCUUUGAACGCACAUUGCGCCCUUUGGUAUUCCAAAGGGCAUGCCUGUUCGAGCGUCAUUUGUACCCUCAAGCUUUGCUUGGUGUUGGGCGUCUUGUCUCUAGCUUUGCUGGAGACUCGCCUUAAAGUAAUUGGCAGCCGACCUACUGGUUUCGGAGCGCAGCACAAGUCGCACUCUCUAUCAGCAAAGGUCUAGCAUCCAUUAAGCCUUUUUUUCAACUUUUGACCUCGGAUCAGGUAGGGAUACCCGCUGAACUUAAGCAUAUCAAUAAGCGGAGGA
This 341-nucleotide unclassified non-coding RNA is filed under the name soil metagenome. RNAcentral describes it as "partial contains 5.8S ribosomal RNA, internal transcribed spacer 2, and large subunit ribosomal RNA". The stretch from base 1 to 120 matches the Rfam family "5.8S ribosomal RNA", at positions 35 to 154 of the family's 154-position model. The record is from RNAcentral.